This is a long non-coding RNA of Rhagoletis pomonella (apple maggot), 451 nucleotides long. RefSeq lists it as uncharacterized. The record is from RefSeq and is a predicted model, not a curated record. The transcript has 3 exons. Lineage: Eukaryota; Metazoa; Arthropoda; Insecta; Diptera; Tephritidae.
GGACAUGCAUGGAAAAUGUAGUUUGCCAAACUGUUAAUGAAAACUUUCACUGCGUUCAGCGCUUUUACGCCUAAACGGUGGUGCAACAUUCGAACGAACUUUUUCUUUAAUUAAUUCAUUUGUUUAUAACGAAAAACAAAUACAGAUGCGCCAGCAAUUGAUGCUGAUGGUUUUACGACAGGUAUAUGGUGAACAUUGGCGAGACGAAGAGCUAUAGUCGCAAAUUGAAUGCGCCGAGCAACUAUUUGAGCACUACACUUUUCAAUGAUUACUCAAUCAGGCGUAUUAACAUGAAAUGCAGUCCGAAAUUGAAAAAAUGCCUUUUUAGGAAAAUUGCGCAGCUUUUUAAGAAAGACUCGCUAAUUUACUCAUCCAAUAAUGAAACGUCAACUCAAAGCAAUACCUAGAUGAAAUACAUAUGUAUAUGUUAAUAAUAAUUAAUGCAAAACUA